GACGAACGCUGGCGGCGUGCUUAACACAUGCAAGUCGAACGGAAAGACCCUGCUUUUGUGGGGUGCUCGAGUGGCGAACGGGUGAGUAACACGUGAGUAACCUGCCCUUGACUUUGGGAUAACUUCAGGAAACUGGGGCUAAUACCGGAUAGGAGCUCCUGCUGCAUGGUGGGGGUUGGAAAGUUUCGGCGGUUGGGGAUGGACUCGCGGCUUAUCAGCUUGUUGGUGGGGUAGUGGCUUACCAAGGCUUUGACGGGUAGCCGGCCUGAGAGGGUGACCGGCCACAUUGGGACUGAGAUAAGGCCCAGACUCCUACGGGAGGCAGAAGUGGGGAAUAUUGCACAAUGGGCGGAAGCCUGAUGCAGCAACGCCGCGUGAGGGAUGACGGCCUUAGGGUUGUAAACCGCUUUCGCCUGUGACGAAGCGUGAGUGACGGUAAUGGGUAAAGAAGCACCGGCUAACUACGUG
This 468-nucleotide ribosomal RNA is filed under the name uncultured bacterium. RNAcentral describes it as "partial 16S ribosomal RNA". It matches the Rfam family "Bacterial small subunit ribosomal RNA", at positions 28 to 507 of the family's 1533-position model. The record is from RNAcentral.